UUGCGAUGAUGACCUUUUUAGGACACCUUUAGAUGAACCAUGAAAAGAAGUAUUAGUCUGAGCGAU
Amphiprion ocellaris (clown anemonefish) is the source of this 66-nucleotide small nucleolar RNA. Its record names the gene SNORD58. It matches the Rfam family "Small nucleolar RNA SNORD58". Rfam says of the family: snoRNA U58 is found in introns 1, 3 and 6 of the ribosomal protein RPL17 gene in humans. U58 is a member of the C/D class of snoRNA which contain C (UGAUGA) and D (CUGA) box motifs. Lineage: Eukaryota; Metazoa; Chordata; Actinopteri; Pomacentridae. The record is from Ensembl.